This 253-nucleotide ribosomal RNA is filed under the name uncultured bacterium. RNAcentral's name for it is "partial 16S ribosomal RNA". It matches the Rfam family "Bacterial small subunit ribosomal RNA", at positions 524 to 776 of the family's 1533-position model. The record is from RNAcentral.
UACGUAGGGUGCGAGCGUUAAUCGGAAUUACUGGGCGUAAAGCGUGCGCAGGCGGGCUUUUAAGCCAGACGUGAAAUCCCCGGGCUCAACCUGGGAACUGCAUCCGAGACUGCAUUGCUAGAGUAUGGGAGAGGGAAGCGGAAUUUCUGGUGUAGCAGUGAAAUGCGUAGAUAUCAGAAGGAACAUCAGUGGCGAAGGCGGCUUCCUGGACCAAUACUGACGAUCAGGUGCGAAAGCGUGGGGAGCAAACAGG